Molecule: ribosomal RNA, 398 nt
Filed under: uncultured bacterium
Lineage: Bacteria
Description: bacterial SSU rRNA
Rfam family: Bacterial small subunit ribosomal RNA
Source: RNAcentral
AAUGAACGCUGGCGGCGCGCCUAAUACAUGCAAGUCGAGCGAGAAGACGUAGCAAUACGUUUGUAAAGCGGCGAACGGGUGAGGAAUACAUGGGUAACCUACCCUCGAGUGGGGAAUAACUAGCCGAAGGUUAGCUAAUACCGCGUACGCUCCUUGGACUUCGGUUCAGGGAGGAAAGCGAUACCGUGGGUAUCGCGCUCUUGGUUGGGCUCAUGUCCUAUCAGCUUGUUGGUGAGGUAACGGCUCACCAAGGCUAAGACGGGUAGGCUGAUCUGAGAGGAUGAUCAGCCACACUGGAACUGAGACACGGCCCAGACUCCUACGGGAGGCAGCAGUGGGGAAUAUUGGACAAUGGGCGCAAGCCUGAUCCAGCCAUGCCGCGUGGAUGAAGAAGGCCC